This 220-nucleotide ribosomal RNA is filed under the name uncultured bacterium. RNAcentral's name for it is "partial 16S ribosomal RNA". It matches the Rfam family "Bacterial small subunit ribosomal RNA", at positions 120 to 334 of the family's 1533-position model. The record is from RNAcentral.
AGUAACCUGCCUUGGAGGUGGGGGAUAAACAACAAGUGAAAAUUAGUGCUAAUACCGCAUAAUGCAUUUGGAUCGCAUGGUUCUGAAUGCCAAAGAUUUAUCGCUCUGAGAUGGACUCGCGUCUGAUUAGCUAGUUGGCGGGGCAACGGCCCACCAAGGCGACGAUCAGUAGCCGGACUGAGAGGUUGGCCGGCCACAUUGGGACUGAGACACGGCCCAG